Lineus longissimus is the source of this 73-nucleotide non-coding RNA. The record is from the annotation of a RefSeq genome assembly. NCBI's taxonomy places the organism in Eukaryota, Metazoa, Nemertea, Pilidiophora, Heteronemertea, Lineidae.
GCCUCAGUGGCCUAAUGGAGAAGGCGUCGGUCUCCGGAACCGAAGAUUGCGGGUUCAAGUCCCGCCUGAGGUA